This 1400-nucleotide long non-coding RNA is filed under the name Papio anubis (olive baboon). RNAcentral's name for it is "lncRNA (ENSPANG00000039368.1)". Lineage: Eukaryota; Metazoa; Chordata; Mammalia; Primates; Cercopithecidae. The record is from RNAcentral.
CUGGGUGCCUUCCUAGAACAAUCAAAUUGGAAACUCUGGGGCUAGGUCUGGAGUGCCAAUCUAGGUCUUUUAAAGCUCCCAGGUGAUUCUAAUGUGCAAUUGUGUUGAUAGAAAUGCCUUCAUUUUGUUACAGAAGAGUUUAUCAGUGGGAGAGCCACUGGCAUUCGGGGGAAUUCUUCCUUGUGCAAGGAAGCACUACAGCCUGUCACUAACACUUUCCAGUAAUGGUGGUAGCCAAAAAUACAUUAAACAUCUCCACAUGUCCUUGCUGAGAAUCUCAUCAACUCUUCUUCCUUUUGUGCGCUUCCUAAGAGUCAAAGCAUACAUACCCCCACGACUCUUCAGGUUUUUGGUUGCUUUUUUGAGACAGGGUCUUGCUCUGUCACCCAAGCUAGACAGUGGUAAGCUCUCAGCUCACUGAAGCUUCAACCUUCUGGGUUCAAGCAAUCCUCCACCUCAGCCUCCCAAGUAGCUGGGACCACAGGUGCAUGCCCCUAUGCCUGGCUUAUGUUUCAAUUUUUUGCAGAGACAAGAUCUUCCUAUGUUACCCAGGCUGGUCUUGUACUGAACUCAAGCGAUCCUCCCACCUCAACCUCCCAAAGUACUGGGAGUACAGGCAGGAGGCACCAGGCCCAGCUGGCUCUUCAGUUCUUUUUUUCUUUUUUCUUUUUUUUUUUUUUUGAGAUGGAGUCUUGCCCUUGUCACCCCAGGCUGGAGUGCAAUGGCGUGAUCUUAGCUCAUUGCAAUCUCUGCCUCCUGAGUUCAAGCGAUUCUCCUGCCUUAGCUUCUGGAGCAGCUGAGACUACAGGUGCGCACCACCAUGCCCAGCUAAUUUUUGUGUUUUUAAUAGAGAUUUUCACCAUGUUGGCCAGACUGGUCUUGAACUGGCUGGUCUCAAACUCCUGACCUCAUGAUCUACCCACCUUAGCCUCCCGAAGUGCUGGGAUUACAGGUGUGAGCUACCGCACCCGGCCUGGAAUGAAUCUUUUAUGCCCUGCUCUGGCAAAAGGUCUUGUGUGAAAUGAGAAGACAUAACUGGGUGUUUGGCUUCUGUCUCCUGUCUCUUCAUAUUCCAGGGCUCUUUCCUUUGCUCCAGGCAGGUGAUCACGUCUGGCUUAGAUAUAGCAAAACCCAGGGAGGCCAGGUUUCUGUAGUUGUCUAACAUCACAUCCCUAUACAAAUUCUGCUGUGCAGGGUCCAGGCAUCCCCACUCCUCUGGAGAGAAUACAGCCACAUCCCUGAAUGUCAACAGACUCACUUGCCAGCUUCUAGGGUGUCCUGGUGUUCUCCCUGUGGAUCUCUGAGUACCUGCAGAUCACAGGUCUGCCGAUCACAGCCCAUUCUUGUGUUAGUUUUUGGGAAAUAUAUGCACACCUUUCUGUUGGCUUCAUAACUAGGAG